AGUGAACGCUGGCGGUAGGCCUAACACAUGCAAGUCGAACGGCAGCACAGUAAGAGCUUGCUCUUACGGGUGGCGAGUGGCGGACGGGUGAGGAAUACAUCGGAAUCUACUUUUUCGUGGGGGAUAACGUAGGGAAACUUACGCUAAUACCGCAUACGACCUACGGGUGAAAGCAGGGGAUCUUCGGACCUUGCGCGAAUGAAUGAGCCGAUGUCGGAUUGGCUAGUUGGCGGGGUAAAGGCCCACCAAGGCGACGAUCCGUAGCUGGUCUGAGAGGAUGAUCAGCCACACUGGAACUGAGACACGGUCCAGACUCCUACGGGAGGCAGCAGUGGGGAAUAUUGGACAAUGGGCGCAAGCCUGAUCCAGCCAUACCGCGUGGGUGAAGAAGGCCUUCGGGUUGUAAAGCCCUUUUGUUGGGAAAGAAAAGCAGCAGGUUAAUACCCCGCUGUUCUGACGGUACCCAAAGAAUAAGCACCGGCUAACUUCGUG
This 492-nucleotide ribosomal RNA is filed under the name uncultured bacterium. Its description in RNAcentral is "partial 16S ribosomal RNA". It matches the Rfam family "Bacterial small subunit ribosomal RNA", at positions 29 to 507 of the family's 1533-position model. The record is from RNAcentral.